This 510-nucleotide ribosomal RNA is filed under the name Triticum aestivum (bread wheat). Its description in RNAcentral is "partial small subunit ribosomal RNA". The record is from RNAcentral. Lineage: Eukaryota; Viridiplantae; Streptophyta; Magnoliopsida; Poales; Poaceae.
AUGCCCUACGACGGGAGUGCGACGACCUCGUUCCCAUCAGCGCCGCCGCCAUCCCAGGGCGUCCACAUCCAGCAGAUCAAGUCCCCACCGUCGCCGUCACCGCUUCCGUCUUGGAUCGCUACCCGCCACGUGUCGGCGGCGGCGAGGCUGCAGGCUGCUGCGCGCGGCCUCCUAGCGCGUCGGCGUGUGCGGGAGAUGCGUGGUCCGCAGCUGCCGCUCCUCCAAGUUGCCCUUCGCUGGGCAAAGAACCUCGAUCUCGUCCGCUGCGUCGGGGAUCUUGGGCAUGCGGUUUCCCCCACGGGCGGCGGGCAUGCUGUUUUCCACGUGGGCAGCGACCUCAAAGUCUGCAACAUCAGCGGUUGGGGUGGCCCACCCCUCCUCGACAUUCUCCAUCGCAAGCCCUCCGCUCUUCCCUGUGCAGUGCAGACCAACAGCCAUACACAUGCACUUCUUUUGUCCAGGUGGUGUCCAUGGGAUCCAGGUGGCUGUACACGUGCACGUCCAAAAUAA